Long non-coding RNA from Medicago truncatula (barrel medic), 853 nucleotides. RefSeq lists it as uncharacterized. The record is from RefSeq and is a predicted model, not a curated record. Lineage: Eukaryota; Viridiplantae; Streptophyta; Magnoliopsida; Fabales; Fabaceae. The transcript is spliced from 2 exons.
AACCUGCAUAUUUGUUUCAUUUUGUUGCUACCAUAGUUUGAGACUCCGCCGUUUUCACAAGCUCCACAUUCUCGUGGCUAACGAGUGCAUCUUUGCUUCCUUUAGAGAGCCUCCAUUUAUACCAAUUCACUUCAUGGAUGUUUGACAUGUGAAAAAUAAAAAACCAAUGGCUGAGAUUAAAAGGCUUCGAAAAAAAUACUUGUUUAUUGGAAAAUAAACACACGCCUCUGCUCUUCCUCCUAUGAUACAACACACUCCUUCAUCUCCUAAAAACGCCGCCCCACCAUCACCCUUUCGUCAGCGCCGGCGUUGCCACCAGGGUACCGUCGUCCCACCCUACCGCUCCACAUAAGCAAAAACAUCUUCCUUCCUCUACACCUUCUCUCAUUGUUCCUGAGACUCCGUUCUUUCCGUUGUUCAAUUCUAAAAUUGCAAUCGUUAAAUGCACUUUCGCUCCUACAAAUGCAUCAGAAUUAGUCAAAUGAUAUGUUUGGAAUCAGAUGAUAAACCUUAAAAUUCUGAAUGGGAAAUUGGAAUGAGAAUGAGGAUGCAGUAAGGGGGUUAUUGUCUUCACACAGACCAAAUACUGGAAAUUCGACACGAACUUAUGACUCGAUUGAUGCAAAGGGUCGGCGACGGACGACGGCUGGAUGGUGGUUGAUGACGAUAUGAGAGAAAGGGAGAAGAGCAGCGGUUGUGUGUAGAUGAAGAGGGAGGAGCGUGAAUACAAUGGAACAAUGUUUUACUUGUUUUUUGUAUUAUUUUCAAUUUCAGCCAGUAGAUAUUUUUGUGCCACAUGUUUUGUAGACAUAAUCUUAAAUGAACUAAAUAAAGUAUAGCUAAAUGGAGCAAA